GUUGCGGUAAAAAAGCUCGUAGUUGGAUUUCUGUUGAGGGCGUCCGGUCCGUACCAUGUACUGGCAUCUGGCUCGGCCUCGGCAUCCUCUCGUUGAACGUUUCUGCGCUUGAUUGCGUGGAGCGAGCUUCGGGACUUUUACUUUGAGGAAAUUAGAGUGUUCACGGCAGGCUUUCGCCGGAAUAUAUUAGCAUGGAAUAAUACUAUAGGAUCUCGAUUCUAUUUUGUUGGUUUCUAGAGUUGAGAUAAUGAUUAAUAGGGACAAUUGGGGGCAUUCGUAUCAAUGCGUCAGAGGUGAAAUUCUUGGAUUGCAUUGCGACGAACUACUGCGAAAGCAUUUGCCAAGGAUGUUUUCAUUGAUCAAGAACGAAAGUAAGGGGAUCGAAGACGAUUAGAUACCGUCGUAUUUUUUUACCAUAAACCAUGCCAACCAGGGAUGGGGACAACGUUAUCUUACGACUUGUUCCGCACCUUAUGAGAUAUCAUAAGUUUCUGGGUUCCGGGGGGAGUAUGAUCGCAAGUUUGAAACUUAAAGGAAUUGACGGAAGGGCACCACCAGGAGUGGAGCCUGCGGCUUAAUUUGACUCAACACGGGAAAACUCACCAGGUCCAGACAUAAUAAGGAUUGACAGAUUGAUAGCUCUUUCUUGAUUUUAUGGGUGGUGGUGCAUGGCCGUUCUUAGUUCGUGGAGUGAUUUGUCUGCUUAAUUGCGUUAACGAACGAGACCUUAACCUGCUAAAUAGGAGUGCAUAUCUUCGGAUAAGCACCUUUCUUCUCAGAGGGACUGUAUGUGUUUCAACAUGCGGAAGUUUGAGGCUAAAGCAGGUCUGUGAUGCCCUUCGAUGUUCUGGGCUGCACGCGCGCUACACUGAUGCGUUCAACGAGUGUACAACCUUGCUCGAUAGAGUUGGGUAACCUUUUGAACACGCAUCGUGAUGGGGAUAGAGUAUUGCAAUUAUUACUCUUC
RNAcentral lists this ribosomal RNA (967 nucleotides) under uncultured Syndiniales. RNAcentral describes it as "bacterial SSU rRNA". It matches the Rfam family "Eukaryotic small subunit ribosomal RNA", at positions 612 to 1601 of the family's 1831-position model. Lineage: Eukaryota; Dinophyceae; Syndiniales. The record is from RNAcentral.